CCUGUAAAAAUAUAAUCAAACAGAUGGAUGUAGUUUCUGUUUGAAGUGGACGAGUCAAUACUUAAUAGGUAUACACUUACCAAGCCGCUUCUACGUUUAAAUCCAACUUCUUCUUUCCCCCGUUCUGCCCAGUGUUUUUCUGGAAGAACAAAGAGUUUCAACUUGGAGGAUACACAUUUACCAAAGGUCAAAGCCACCUUUCAUGUCCGUAAUUUCGCAAAUUUCCAAUCGUUUCUCAAGACAAACGAGCCCUUACAGUGUUAUCUUCAUUGCUCAAACCAAGGUCAACCUUAUCGGUUUCAUGUUACAUAUUUAUUUAACAGGUACCAUUGGUGAAUGAAAUAAGGAUCAGAGGGGUCUUCCAACACUGGGGGGAGGUCCACCAGAUUUUCCACGCGAAGAGGGUUGUACCCCCGUUUUUCUCGGCGAAACCCAGUUUGUUGUACAGC
Long non-coding RNA from Folsomia candida, 449 nucleotides. RefSeq lists it as uncharacterized. NCBI's taxonomy places the organism in Eukaryota, Metazoa, Arthropoda, Collembola, Entomobryomorpha, Isotomidae. The transcript is spliced from 3 exons. The record is from RefSeq and is a predicted model, not a curated record.